This 253-nucleotide ribosomal RNA is filed under the name uncultured bacterium. Its description in RNAcentral is "partial 16S ribosomal RNA". It matches the Rfam family "Bacterial small subunit ribosomal RNA", at positions 524 to 776 of the family's 1533-position model. The record is from RNAcentral.
UACGAAGGGGCUAGCGUUGCUCGGAAUCACUGGGCGUAAAGCGCACGUAGGCGGUUUCUUAAGUCAGGGGUGAAAUCCUGGAGCUCAACUCCAGAACUGCCUUUGAUACUGGGAGACUUGGAGUCCGGGAGAGGUGAGUGGAACUGCGAGUGUAGAGGUGAAAUUCGUAGAUAUUCGCAAGAACACCAGUGGCGAAGGCGGCUCACUGGCCCGGUACUGACGCUGAGGUGCGAAAGCGUGGGGAGCAAACAGG